AAACAGACCGCUCUUUUACUUUUUACCUAUAAUAUUUGACUAUUCGUCUUAUUAAAAAAUUAUAAUUAAUAUUUUUGUUUUUAUUAGAUGAUGAAUCAUAAAUAGUACUUUACGUGUGACUAUUUUUUUCCAAUUUCUUAAUUUUUCUUUAAAUAAGAUGGAUGGUCAAACGCUGAACACGAAAAUCGAAAGAUUGGUUUGUU
Molecule: microRNA precursor, 203 nt
Filed under: Oryza brachyantha (malo sina)
Lineage: Eukaryota; Viridiplantae; Streptophyta; Magnoliopsida; Poales; Poaceae
Description: MIR812 microRNA precursor family
Rfam family: MIR812 microRNA precursor family
Source: Rfam by way of RNAcentral